This is a long non-coding RNA of Belonocnema kinseyi, 645 nucleotides long. RefSeq lists it as uncharacterized. The transcript has 4 exons. NCBI's taxonomy places the organism in Eukaryota, Metazoa, Arthropoda, Insecta, Hymenoptera, Cynipidae. The record is from RefSeq and is a predicted model, not a curated record.
AUACAAUGUAAUUUAGAAUAAACACAUAAAUAAAUUAAUAUUUUCAUUUUUUAUUUCUAAAGUCAUCGCAACCUUGUUUGUGGACACAUUUGCAACUCCUGUAAUCACUGUGAGCGAGAACAUCAAACGCACUAUUAUUAACUACGUAAAGUGUCUCCGUGAAUGUCCGUUGAAUUUCAUAGACCCGAUUUGUUCAUACUAUCAUGGAAAAUACCUGAUUCUCGGAAGAGAGUCAUUCCGUUGCUACAAAAGAACCUGCGACAGAGGUGGACGCUAUUUGCAUGACGGAGAUUGUAACAGUGAAUCAGAAGCAAUUUUGAGACGGUCUAGACCGAUAGUACCAGAUUUCUGGCCCUUCUUUCCACGACCCCAUUCUUAAUUCCAAUUGAAACAAUUUUUAAUCCUGCUCAGCCCUUCGCAUUCUAUUUUAAAUUUCAUUGCACGUACUUUAGCUUGUUUCAAAUUUUUCGAGUAGCAAAUGCUUAUGGGUAGAGAAGGAUGUCCACAAGAAGUCAGAAAAGUUUAGACGCCUAAAGUACCUGUGUACUUGAAAUGUGCACAUAUGAGUCACGCCGUCAAUGUCAUUCUAAGCUCAGAAAUAAAAAGACUUUCUGCCACUAAUUGGAUAAGCAUAUUACCGGCAGA